This 743-nucleotide ribosomal RNA is filed under the name uncultured bacterium. RNAcentral describes it as "bacterial SSU rRNA". It matches the Rfam family "Bacterial small subunit ribosomal RNA", at positions 8 to 796 of the family's 1533-position model. The record is from RNAcentral.
AGAGUUUGAUCAUGGCUCAGAGCGAACGCUGGCGGCAGGCCUAACACAUGCAAGUCGAACGGGCCCUUCGGGGUCAGUGGCAGACGGGUGAGUAACGCGUGGGAACGUGCCCAUCGGUUCGGAAUAACCCAGGGAAACUUGGGCUAAUACCGGAUACGUCCUUUUUGGAGAAAGAUUUAUCGCCGAUGGAUCGGCCCGCGUCUGAUUAGCUAGUUGGUGGGGUAAUGGCCCACCAAGGCGACGAUCAGUAGCUGGUCUGAGAGGAUGAUCAGCCACACUGGGACUGAGACACGGCCCAGACUCCUACGGGAGGCAGCAGGGGGGAAUAUUGGACAAUGGGCGCAAGCCUGAUCCAGCCAUGCCGCGUGAGUGAUGAAGGCCCUAGGGUUGUAAAGCUCUUUCACCCACGACGAUAAUGACGGUAGUGGGAGAAGAAGCCCCGGCUAACUUCGUGCCAGCAGCCGCGGUAAUACGAAGGGGGCUAGCGUUGCUCGGAAUCACUGGGCGUAAAGGGCGCGUAGGCGGACCUUUAAGUCAGGGGUGAAAGCCUGUGGCUCAACCACAGAAUUGCCUUUGAUACUGAGGGUCUCGAGACCGGAAGAGGUUGGUGGAACUGCGAGUGUAGAGGUGAAAUUCGUAGAUAUUCGCAAGAACACCAGUGGCGAAGGCGGCCAACUGGUCCGGUUCUGACGCUGAGGCGCGAAAGCGUGGGGAGCAAACAGGAUUAGAUACCCUAGUAGUCC